GCCGGGGUAGCUCAGCUGGCCAGAGCGCCACACUCAUAAUGUGGAGGUCGUGGGAUCGUGACCCACCCCCGGCACCA
RNAcentral lists this transfer RNA (77 nucleotides) under Herpetosiphonaceae bacterium. RNAcentral's name for it is "tRNA-Met". It matches the Rfam family "tRNA". Rfam says of the family: Transfer RNA (tRNA) molecules are approximately 80 nucleotides in length. Their secondary structure includes four short double-helical elements and three loops (D, anti-codon, and T loops). The record is from RNAcentral. Lineage: Bacteria; Bacillati; Chloroflexota; Chloroflexia; Herpetosiphonales; Herpetosiphonaceae.